GUGCUCGCUUCGGCAGCACAUAUGCUGAAAUUGGAAUGAUACAGAGAAGAUUAGCAUGGCCCCUGCACAAGGACGACAUGCAAAUUCGUGAAGCAUUCCAUAUUUUU
Molecule: small nuclear RNA, 107 nt
Filed under: Equus asinus (donkey)
Lineage: Eukaryota; Metazoa; Chordata; Mammalia; Perissodactyla; Equidae
Source: RNAcentral